Non-coding RNA from Aedes albopictus (Asian tiger mosquito), 58 nucleotides. The record is from Rfam. Lineage: Eukaryota; Metazoa; Arthropoda; Insecta; Diptera; Culicidae.
UAGCCUAGUGGUUAAGGCUAUGGAUUGCCAAUCCGGAGAUGGCGGGUUCGAUUCCCGU